AAAUCAGCUCCGAGAAGGGGAACAAACGGAGGGGGCGCGCUCGGCUCCAGGUCGGGGGCGCGCAUUUGGGAAGCCCUGACUACACUUUUUUUUUUUCCUUGCCUUUUUUUUUUUUUUUUUUCUUUAUCCUUUUUUUUUUUUUUCCCCUCCUUUUUUUUUUUUUUUUUUUUUAAGAGGGAAGGAGGGGGCUGGUUGGCAGAGAGGAAGGGAAGUGGGAAACGGGCAGAUGGGGGAGGAAAAAAACCUGAGAAGAAUCAGAGAGAGGGAAAAAAGCCGCCGAGGUGGGGCAGAAUUUGCACUCACCCCGCACUCCCCUUUCCAAAAAAAAAAAAAAAAAAAAAAAAGAGGGAAAAAAACGGAACAAAAAGCCCAAGUCUGGAGGAAAUCAAAGCUGCUCUGCCUGCGAGUGCCAGCCGAGGGCUGCGGCGGGGAGCAGCCCGGGGUCCCGCUCCGGCAUCCAGCGCUGCUCCGCUCCGCUGCGCGCCCGUCCCGAGCCCCGCCGGGAUCCCGCAGCUUCCCGCGGAGCCCAACACCUCGGGGACACUCCCGCACCUCCCGCAUCCUCCCGCCGUGUGCGCGGAGGCGGAGGGGCCGCGUUGCCCGCCCGCCCCGGGAGCCGCCGCAGCUCUCGUCAGGUGUUUUACUGCCCCUCGCUCAUCCAGAACAAACGUCGAGAAUUUCUGCUCAGGGUGCGCUUCAGAAUUCACCCCGAGCUCCCCAAAAAGAUCAUUAGCAGCACGGCAAAGCUCCUUGCAAGAUUUCUACCCAGCUGACACAACAAUUUGCAGAGACUUCUCCUUCCCCACCCCACAAACCUGCUUUUUAUUCUUAUCCCUCAUCAUAAAGAAAGCUCAUUUCCAAAUUAAAACACCUAAAUCCCAGAGGAGCCUCUCAAUCCCCUGCACAGUUUUAAUGGAAAUAUUAGAAAAUAAGGGGAAAAUGAACUUUUUUUUUUUCUGGUUGAAAACAUGCACAGAUGUUCUUUACCCAAUAUAUGGAUUAGAUAAUGCAGUUGACAGUUGACAGAUUUUUUUAUCAAAUUUUUAAAAGCAUUUAAUGCUGAAGAAAAAAUGUAGUUUUUCCAAUCAAUGUUAAAAUCUUCAGCGAGGAUAAAAUCAUACACAAAGUGGGGUUUGUGUGCUUUGAUUUGUGCAAUAAUCCAAUAAAGGCUCAAAAUUAGCACUGAAAACGAAGGGAAAUCAACCAAUUCUGAUGUAUUGGGGAAAUUAUAAAACACAACUCACUGUGGGCAUUAUAAUUGAGUGUAUGGAGCUGAUGAGUAGCUGAACUCAUCUGCCAUAAGUUUUUUAUUUCAAACUAAUCCAUAAACUGCCUUUUCAAUUCUCUAAAAGAACAUAAAAUACCAACAAUUCUUUUAGCGUGUCCCCAUCAAUCCAAUCAAAAAAAUCAUGAGCUGCAAAUGACAGCCCAUAGCUGUAAUAUAAAAAUAUCCUGGUUAUCAAUCUAAAACUGGUUUUGCAGUGAUGUUGGCCAGGAUAUUUUGCCUCAUGACUUCAUGGUUCUCAUUCUGUUGUUUAUUGUCCUGUCAUCUUAUAUUUAUAUCAUUUGGCCUCCAUCUUCCAUAGCAAUUAAAAAUGGCAUUUCUUUAACCGUGGUUUUGCUGGUUUUCCUGGUGCUUUCCACAAAUGCCCAUCCCUGGAUUGGAAUGGAUUGUCACCACCAGCUUCUAAAGACCUUUUCCAUCAAAGAAAUAAUUAAAUACUUGAUUUAUUCCACUCAUUGUUGCAAUUAUUUUUGCCAUGAUGGGGGAUGUGGCUCUUUGGCACACACAGUCACCACCUCAGCAGAGAGAUCCUGGAAAUGCCCCAUUUCUGAGCCUGGAUUCCUUUUCUCACUGGACAUGGUAAAUCCUGGAAUUGCUGCAGCUUGGAAACUGUCCCAGAAAGGGCACACAAGGGACACUGGGAAUUACACAUUGGACUCCAGCUCUCUACAUUGAGUGACAAAAUCUUGGAUAUGGGAAGAAAAGAGGGGCUCAGCCAAUAUUAUCUGGUAAUGUGAAGAUAACCACAGCUAAAAAGGGCUUCAUGUGUCCAGAAAAAGAGCUGUUAGACUGGAUUAUGCUGGUCUGGGACAGGAAGGAUUAGUGGAGAGGAGGCCUGACAGUGAAUUCAUUAUGAUCUGCAGCAGAUAUUACAAAAUGCUGCUUUGCUGGUUGCAUUCGUCCAAAGAUCUUCCCCAAGAACUGUGUAUUAGGGGUAAUUUGGAGCUCAGUUUUCAGGAUCGGUUUUGGAGAUUUUUGGGGGCCCAAAGCUGGAGUUCUGAAGCCCACGGACAGCUUAUAACGAGUUCAGCACAUGCUGUGUGAGGGUCACCAGUGGCUUUACCUCUCUCAGAGCUGGAGCCUCUAAAAGUUAUUUCACUGCCAAAGCAUUUCCAUCCACCAACAUUCCCACAGGGAGGGACUUUCUUCUUUCUCCAGGAAAAGGUUCUUCCCCAGAGGGUGCUGGCAUUGCCAAGGCUCCCCAGGGAAUGGGCACAACCCCGAGGCUGCCAGAGCUCCAGGAGGGUUUGGAGAACAUUCCCAGGGUGGGAUUGCUGGGGUGUCUGUGCAGGGCCAGGAGCUGCACUGGAUGAUCCUUGUGGAGCCUUUCCAACUCAGGAUAUUCAUUAAUUCCAUGAUAUUUGAAUGGAAGAGCUGGGAGGCACAGAGAGAUUAAUCUGCACGACCUGCAGGUGUGCCACAGAGAUGCUCUUUCCCUUUCUCAUAUUCUUUGCCUUGCUUAAACAUUGGCCCAGCUCUGUCCCCCAGGCUGGAGGUCUGAAAUGAAAUGGCAAUCUGCUCCUCUCCUGGCUAAUUGGAGCUGGAGCAGAGACAUUUCACAGGAGAAUAAUGAUGAGCUGCUGUCCCUGCAUCCCUCUUUGUCUCCAUUUUUAUUUUUGUAGUGUCUCAUCUGCUCUGCUGAGCUGCCAGUCACCUCCUGGGGACACUGUCCCUCACUGAGAGCUCCUGGGGCUCUCUGACUACCCCUCAGCUGCUUUCAGCUCCCGAGGCUGGGACAUUCCAGCUGGGAGCUGGACCUGUGGACACCAGAAAGCACUUUCCAGUUCUGGAUCUCCUCAUUUCCCCCUGGCAGCUGGAGAAGCUCCCUGCUAACGAGGGAGCUCCAUUCUCUGAUCCUCCCCUUGCUUGGCUCUGGUGGCUGAAUUGCCUCUGGCUCACCUCAAUCAGCUCCAUUUAUUCCAGGGUUUUGAGUAGCUGCAUAUGAAAGCCUCGCUGAUGGAGAUAUCACAUGGCUUUGCUUUGCCUACAGACAAUGAUUUCAUCUUAAUAAAGUCAGAUUUUGCCUCUGCCUGCUGCGCUGUCGAGUGAGCUCUCCUACAAGCCCCACAAUGCAGCAGCUUUGUGAGGAAAAAAAGCACAGGACAGAAUAAUUUAUUUUUUUCUCUCAAUAAUCCUGAAAAUGAGCCAUGACUGACAAGAGGGAGCAAGGAGGAUUUGAAGCACUUGAAUUUCUUUUUCCAGUGUAUUUGAUAUUGCAACUGUGGAUGCCACUGUCACUGCAGGAAGAGUUAUGAGACC
Molecule: long non-coding RNA, 3544 nt
Filed under: Taeniopygia guttata (zebra finch)
Lineage: Eukaryota; Metazoa; Chordata; Aves; Passeriformes; Estrildidae
Description: lncRNA (ENSTGUG00000020270.1)
Source: RNAcentral